UCUAGAGUCCCGACCGGUACCCGUCCUACCUGAAAAACCCUCAAAUUUGAUUCGAGGUGAACUCUCUCCAAUUCUGUAUAGGUGAAUACAUGUGAGUGGUGGAAAAAAGGCAAAAUGUCAGAUUGAAUUCUUGUCAAAAAUGACAGUUCCACAAUUUCGAUUUCAAAAACAAAACAUUCAAUUUGAGAUUCUACAAGUAAGUUUUUGUAAAUUAUUUUGUUUUAUCUGAACAUUUAACAGAAUUUAUUUCUUUUCAGAUCAAAAACCUUAACGGUUAAGUGCUACAAGUGCAUUUAAUUGAAAAAACAAUAGGCCAGGUACCAGAAGAAAAAAAUGAGACUUACUCUACUCGGAGCUUAAGUACGUAAGUACUUUCAAAAAAAAGUAUCUCGUAAACAAAAAAAUAUUUAAGUUGCUUUGUUGCAGCUAUUGAUUACUCCAAUAAUAUACUUUACUACCAAUUCAAGAAGAUGUAGUACAUAAUAAUAAAAAUCGACUUUAUAAGCAUCUCCUUCGUGUUUUCAUUUCGUGUGCUGCCGAUUAGAAACCAAUUUCAUUCAUUUACUUACGAGUAAUCUUAACACGGAUAUUUUAAGUUCUAUGGUUCUUUAGGAUUUUCAACGUCCUUUGCCCAUUCAUCAGCUGCCAAGAAGUAUGAUUCAAGCAACUAAAGCAACUAAAUCUUCACCUUCUAGAUAUAAAUCGAUGCUUGUAACGCCAAAUAUCUCGCUAAAGAACGGCAAGGACACUGCUGACCGAGUCAUCGGCUACUGCGGGCACUUUAGGACGACGCAGACCACCAGAUGGUGAAAUGAAAGUCGACAUUGAAGCAACCUGCUGGGAGGACACCUCCUAAAUGACGGGAAUUAAAAACCUUUGAAAGAAAAAAUAGAAGCCGAAUUCCUAAAUACGCAAUGCUUAUUGAAUCAAGAACUAACUGGAAUCACUUAGAAGAUCAUCAGGAACUGCCACAAUUUUUAAUCAACGGUUCGAAUUACCAGCAUAAGUUUUAUAAUUAUAAACCAAUGAACUUGCUACAAUUUAAUUGUGCGUCCAUUGACCAAAAGGUUUAUAAUGACAAGACUAAUUCAAACAACAAAUCGAAGCGGUAUUGAAACAAAUCCUGAAGUGAAGAUGAUUUUAGUCGACGACAUGCUUUAAAUCUCAUCCGUUAAUAAUAACGUGCAAAAGCGUUUGGACUAUGCAAAUGCGUAUGUUUCGAAGCCGGAUGAUUUCUGGAAGAACGUGAUAUUCCUUGACGAGAGUAAGUUCAACAUUUUUGGGUCGGAUGGAAGAAGGUUUGUGUGGCGGCAACCAAACACGGCCUUGGAGACAAGAAAUAUGCAGCCAACAGUGAAGCAUGGAGGCGGAAAUGUCAUGGUCUGGGGAGUGAUGGGGGCUAGCAGGGUGCGAAAUUUAGUAUUUGUUGAGUCGACGAUGGAUAAAAUGGUUUAUCUGCAAAUACUAAAAGACAACUUAAAAGCCAGCGCCAAUUAAAUGGGCUUAAGCGAGGACUUUGCAUUAGUGCAAGACAACGACCCUUAGCAUUCCUCAAGGGGGAUUAUUUGGAAAAGAAAAUCCGAGAAUCGGAAAUAAGAAACAAAAAUCAACUGAAAGCCGUUUUAAUUGAAGAAUGGAACAAAAUUCCACCGGAAGUGACUUCAAAACUAGUCCUGUCCAUGCAAAACCCUUUAAAGAAUGUUAUUAAGGCAAAAGGUUACCAUACUAGGUACUAAACGAAGCAAUUAACUAUUAAACUUUAAAGUGUAUGUGCAA
Molecule: long non-coding RNA, 1776 nt
Organism: Eupeodes corollae
Lineage: Eukaryota; Metazoa; Arthropoda; Insecta; Diptera; Syrphidae
Exons: 3
Source: RefSeq, a predicted model, not a curated record